UUUAUUUUUAUAAUAUGGUACGAAAAAUUCAAAACAAGAAAGAUAUUUGUAAGCAUUCUGAAUCAAGUUUUAUAUUGAAACAAUGUAAGGAUGCAAAUAAUAUACAAACCUCACCACAAGAUUCUGAAAUGCCAACUACAGAGGAUCUUUUAAAUAAAAUAAUAAAUCCUGUUAAUUGCUUGAAAAAAGAUAUUGGUUAUAAUGAUAUUUUAAAAUUAGACAAUUCUCUAGACAAGGAAAAUGUCAAUCCUUGUAAUUCAAAAAGGAAAAAUUUUGAAACACCGAAAUCUAAAAAAUAUGAAAUUGAAAAGAUUAAGAUAUUUAGAGAUUUAUUGAAAAAAAUUUUUCAUGAUGAUGAUAAGCAUUAUAUUAUGGGAUUUUUUAAAUCCUUCCAGUAUCAAUUUAAUUCCAUGACAAAUAAGCAAGCAUUUGAUUUCAAGAUAAAAUUUACUGAAAUUUUAGCC
This is a long non-coding RNA of Gordionus sp. m RMFG-2023, 464 nucleotides long. RefSeq lists it as uncharacterized. Lineage: Eukaryota; Metazoa; Nematomorpha; Gordioida; Chordodea; Parachordodidae. The record is from RefSeq and is a predicted model, not a curated record. The transcript has 4 exons.